AUCUUGGACAAUGGGGGCAACCCUGAUCCAGCGAUGCCGCGUGUGUGAAGAAGGCCUGAGGGUUGUAAAGCACUUUUGUUGGGGAGGAGAGACUAUAGGUUAAGAGCUAAUAGUUGAGACGUUACCCAAAGAAUAAGCACCGGCUAACUCCGUGCCAGCAGCCGCGGUAAUACGGAGGGUGCGAGCGUUAAUCGGAAUUACUGGGCGUAAAGGGUGCGCAGGUGGUUUUUUAAGUUAGCCGUGAAAUACCUGGGCUCAACCUGGGAGUGUCAGCUAAGACUGGAAAACUUGAGUAUAGGAGAGGGUAGUGGAAUUUCCGGUGUAGCGGUGAAAUGCGUAGAGAUCGGAAGGAACACCAGUGGCGAAGGCGGCUACCUGGCCUGAUACUGACACUGAGGCACGAAAGCGUGGGGAGCAAAC
RNAcentral lists this ribosomal RNA (420 nucleotides) under uncultured bacterium. RNAcentral's name for it is "bacterial SSU rRNA". It matches the Rfam family "Bacterial small subunit ribosomal RNA", at positions 361 to 773 of the family's 1533-position model. The record is from RNAcentral.